RNAcentral lists this ribosomal RNA (460 nucleotides) under uncultured bacterium. RNAcentral's name for it is "partial 16S ribosomal RNA". It matches the Rfam family "Bacterial small subunit ribosomal RNA", at positions 338 to 795 of the family's 1533-position model. The record is from RNAcentral.
CCUACGGGAGGCAGCAGUGAGGAAUAUUGGUCAAUGGGCGCGCGCCUGAACCAGCCAAGUAGCGUGAAGGAUGACUGCCCUACGGGUUGUAAACUUCUUUUAUAAAGGCAUAAAGUGAGUCACGUGUGCCUUUUUGUAUGUACUUUAUGCAUAAGCAUCGGCUAACUCCGUGCCAGCAGCCGCGGUAAUACGGAGGAUACGAGCGUUAUCCGGAUUUAUUGGGUUUAAAGGGUGCGUAGGCGGCCUUUUAAGUCAGCGGGGAAAGUCUGUGGCUCAACCCUAGACUUGCCGGUGACACUGGGAGUCUUGAGUAUGUGUGAGGCAGGCGGAAUGCGUGGUGUAGCGGUGAAAUGCUUAGAUAUCACGCAGAACCCAGAUUGCGAAGGCAGCCUGCCAAGCCAUGACUGACGCUGAUGCACGAAAGCGUGGGGAUCAAACAGGAUUAGAUACCCUAGUAGUC